RNAcentral lists this ribosomal RNA (253 nucleotides) under uncultured bacterium. RNAcentral's name for it is "partial 16S ribosomal RNA". It matches the Rfam family "Bacterial small subunit ribosomal RNA", at positions 524 to 776 of the family's 1533-position model. The record is from RNAcentral.
UACGGAGGGUGCAAGCGUUAAUCGGAAUUACUGGGCGUAAAGCGCACGCAGGUGGCUGAGAAAGUCGAUUGUGAAAGCCCUGGGCUUAACCUGGGAAUUGCAGUCGAAACUACUCGGCUAGAGUAUGGGAGAGGGUAGUGGAAUUCCCGGUGUAGCGGUGAAAUGCGUAGAUAUCGGGAGGAACAUCAGUGGCGAAGGCGGCUACCUGGCCCAAUACUGACACUCAGGUGCGAAAGCGUGGGGAGCAAACAGG